RNAcentral lists this ribosomal RNA (200 nucleotides) under uncultured bacterium. Its description in RNAcentral is "partial 16S ribosomal RNA". It matches the Rfam family "Bacterial small subunit ribosomal RNA", at positions 328 to 539 of the family's 1533-position model. The record is from RNAcentral.
ACGCUCGACACCUACGGGAGGCAGCAGUUAGGAAUAUUGGGCAAUGGAGGAAACUCUGACCCAGCAACGCCGCGUGAAGGAAGAAGGUUUUCGGAUUGUAAACUUCUGAUCUAGGGGAAGAAGGAAGUGACGGUACCCUAGGAGAAAGCCACGGCUAACUACGUGCCGGCAGCGCGGUAAUCUGAGCGGGCUGGCAAGGC